GACGAACGCUGGUGGCGUGCUUACACAUGCAAGUCGAACGGAAAGGCCCUGCUUUUGUGGGGUGCUCGAGUGGCGAACGGGUGAGUAACACGUGAGUAACCUGCCCUUGACUUUGGGAUAACUUCAGGAAACUGGGGCUAAUACCGGAUAGGAGCUCCUGCUGCAUGGUGGGGGUUGGAAAGUUCCGGCGGUUGGGGAUGGACUCGCGGCUUAUCAGCUUGUUGGUGGGGUAGUGGCUUACCAAGGCUUUGACGGGUAGCCGGCCUGAGAGGGUGACCGGCCACAUUGGGACUGAGAUACGGCCCAGACUCCUACGGGAGGCAGCAGUGGGGAAUAUUGCACAAUGGGCGGAAGCCUGAUGCAGCAACGCCGCGCGCGGGAUGACGGCCUUCGGGUUGUAAACCGCUUUCGCCUGUGACGAAGCGUGAGUGACGGUAAUGGGUAAAGAAGCACCGGCUAACUACGUGCCAGCAGCCGCGGUGAUACGUAGGGUGCGAGCGUUGUCCGGAUUUAUUGGGCGUAAAGGGCUCGUAGGUGGUUGAUCGCGUCGGAAGUGUAAUCUUGGGGCUUAACCCUGAGCGUGCUUUCGAUACGGGUUGACUUGAGGAAGGUAGGGGAGAAUGGAAUUCCUGGUGGAGCGGAGGAAUGCGCAGAUAUCAGGAGGAACACCAGUGGCGAAGGCGGUUCUCUGGGCCUUUCCUGACGCUGAGGAGCGAAAGCGUGGGGAGCGAACAGGCUUAGAUACCCUGGUAGUCCACGCUGUAAACGGUGGGUACUAGGUGUGGGGUCCAUUCCACGGGUUCCGUGCCGUAGCUAACGCUUUAAGUACCCCGCCUGGGGAGUACGGCCGCAAGGCUAAAACUCAAAGGAAUUGACGGGGCCCCGCACAAGCGGCGGAGCAUGCGGAUUAAUUCGAUGCAACGCGUAGAACCUUACCUGGGUUUGACAUGGAUCGGGAGUGCUCAGAGAUGGGUGUGCCUCUUUUGGGGUCGGUUCACAGGUGGUGCAUGCCUGUCGUCAGCUCGUGUCGUGAGAUGUUGGGUUAAGUCCCGCAACGAGCGCAACCCUUGUUCACUGUUGCCAGCACGUUAUGGUGGGGACUCAGUGGAGACCGCCGGGGUCAACUCGGAGGAAGGUGGGGAUGACGUCAAGUCAUCAUGCCCCUUAUGUCCAGGGCUUCACGCAUGCUACAAUGGCUGGUACAGAGAGUGGCGAGCCUGUGAGGGUGAGCGAAUCUCGGAAAGCCGGUCUCAGUUCGGAUUGGGGUCUGCAACUCGACCUCAUGAAGUCGGAGUCGCUAGUAAUCGCAGAUCAGCAACGCUGCGGUGAAUACGUUCCCGGGGCU
RNAcentral lists this ribosomal RNA (1345 nucleotides) under uncultured bacterium. RNAcentral's name for it is "partial 16S ribosomal RNA". It matches the Rfam family "Bacterial small subunit ribosomal RNA", at positions 28 to 1381 of the family's 1533-position model. The record is from RNAcentral.